AGGUGUUUUUCCUCAAUGACACGUUUUCUCCCGGAUUGCUGGCGACACUAAACGCAACCGGGAAUUUCGUGUCAGCCAAGAAUGACACCU
Molecule: microRNA precursor, 90 nt
Filed under: Larimichthys crocea (large yellow croaker)
Lineage: Eukaryota; Metazoa; Chordata; Actinopteri; Sciaenidae
Also listed under: 1 other name
Description: mir-731 microRNA precursor family
Rfam family: mir-731 microRNA precursor family
Source: Rfam by way of RNAcentral